AUGGUGUACUUCACUGUAGACCAGAUCCAGGCCAUCACAGACAAGAAGGCCAACAUUUGCAACAUGUCUGUCAUCACCCACAUGUACCACGGCAAGUCCACGCUGAUGGAUUCCCUGGUGUGCAAAGCUAGCAUCAUCACAUCCAAUCGCACUGGUGAGACCAGCUUCACUGACACCCGGAAGGGUGAGCAAAAGCACUGUAUCACCAAGUCAACCGCUAUCUCCCUCUUCUAUGAACUUUCUGAGAAUGACUUGAACUUUAUCAAGCAGAGCAAGGAUGGCUCUGGCUUCCUCAUCAACCUCAUUGACUCUCCUUGGCAUAUGGACUUCUCCUCAGAGGUGACAGUUGCCCUACAUAUCACUGAUGGCAUCUUAGUGGUGGUGGACUGUGUGUCAGAUGUGUGUGCAGAGACAGUGCUGCAGGAGGCUGUCACUGAGCGCAUCAAGACUGUACUCAUGAUGAUAAAGAUGGACCGUGCCCUACUAGAGCUACAGCUGGAGCCUGAGGAGCUGUACCAGACCUUCCAGGGCAUAGUGGAGAACGUCAACAUCAUCAUCUUCACCUAUGGCGAGGGCGAGAGCAGCCCCAUGGGCAACACCAUGAAUGACCCUGUCCUUGGUACUGUGGGCUUUGGGUCAGGCCUGCAUGGCUGGGCCUUCACCCUGAAGCAGUUCACAGAGAUGUACGUGGCCAAGUUCACUGCCAAGGGGGAGGGCCAGCUGGAGCCUGCUAAGUGGGCCAAGAAGGUGGAAAACAUGAUGAAGAAGCUGUGGGAUGACCGGUACUUCGAUCCAUCCAACAGCAAGUUUAGCAAGUCAGCCACCAGUCCUGAUGGAAAGAAGCUGCCUCGUACUUUCUGUCAGCUCAUCCUGGACCCCAUCUUCAAGGUGUUUGAUGCAAUCAUGAACUUCAAGAAAAAGGAGAUGGCAAAGCUGAUUGAGGAGCUGGACAUUAAGCUGGACAGCGAGGACAAAGACAAAAAGGGCAAGCCACUGCUCAAGGCUGUGAGGCGCCGCUGGCUGCCAGCCGGGGAUGCACUGCUACAGAUGAUCAUGAUCCACUUGCCAUUGCCUGUCACAACACAGAAGUACUGCUGUGAGCUGCUAUAUGAGGGGCUCCUAGAUGAUGAGGCCCCCAUGGGCAUUAAAAGCUGUGACCCUAAAGGUCCCCAAAUGAUGUACAUUUCCAAAACAGACGCGUCUUCUCAGGGCUGGUGUCCAUCAGCUUAAAGGUCCUGAUUAUGGGCCCUAACUACACCCCUGGGAAGAAGGAGGACCUCUACCUGAAGCCCAUUCAGAGGACCAUCCUGAUAAUGGGCCAUUAUGUGGAGCUCACUGAGGACGUACACUGUGGGAACAUUGUGGGACUGGUGGGUGUGGACCAGUUCCUAGUGAAGACUGGCACCAUCACCACCUUUGAGCAUGCCCACAGCAUGCGUGUGAUGAAUUUCAGCUUCAGCCCUGUGGUCAGAGUGGCUGUGGAGGCCAAGAAUCUGGCUGACCUUCCCAAGCUAGUGGACGGGCUGAAGCGGCUCGCCAAGUCCCACCCCAUGGUGCAAUGCAUCAUUGAGGAGUCGGGAGAGCACAUCAUCACGGGCACUGGAGAGCUGCACCUGGAGAUCUGCCUCAAGGACUUGGAGGAGGACCACACCUGCAUCCCCAUCAAGAAAUCGGACCCUGUGGUCUCAUACUGGGAGACAGUGAGUGAUGAGUCGAACCUGAUGUGCCUCUUCAAGUCCCCCAACAAGCACAACCUCCUGUACAUGAAGGCAUGACCCUUCCCGGAUUGCCUGCCUGAGGACAUUGACAAAGGUGAGAUGUCUGCCCACCAGGAGCUAAAGCAGCAUGCCUGCUACCUGGCUGAGAAAUAUGAGUGGGACGUGGCAGAGGACCACAAGAUCUGGUGCUUUGGCCCUGAUGGCACUGGUCCCAACAUCCUCACCAACAUCACCAAGGGGCUGCAGUAUGUCAGUGAGAUCAAGGAUAGUGUGGUGGCCAGCUUCCAGUGGGCCACCAAGGAGGGGGUGCUAUGUGAGGAAAAUAUGCAUGGAGUGUGCUUUGAUGUCCAUGACGUGACCCUGCAUGCCGACGUCAUCCACCGUGGGGGUGGUCAGAUCAUCCCCACGCAUGGUGCUGCCUAUAAGCCAGCAUGCUGACAGCACAGCUGUGCCUCAUGGAGCUCAUCUACCUUGCGGAGAUCCAGUGUCCAGAACAAGUGGUUGGGGGAUCUAUGAUGUCCUGAACAGGAAGCGAGGCCAUGUCUUCAAGGAGUCCCAGGUGGCUGGCACCCCUAUGUUCGUGGUUAAGGCCUACCUGCCCAUCAAUGAGUCCUUCGGGCCUCACUGCCGACCUGUGGUCCAACACGGGUGGUCAGGCCUUCCUCCAGUAUGUGUUCGACCACUGGCAGAUCCUGCCCGGUGACCCCUUUGAUAAUAGCAGCCACCCAAGCCAGGUGGUGGUGGAGACCCACAAGCACAAGGGCCAGCUUUGGACAACUUCCUGGACAAGUUGUGGCAGGUGGCACCACUCCAGCUCCACCACGGCAGCACGUCCUCACUCAAAUGA
This is an RNA transcript of Octodon degus (degu), 2565 nucleotides long. It is a transcript of the gene named elongation factor 2 pseudogene, with no coding region annotated. Lineage: Eukaryota; Metazoa; Chordata; Mammalia; Rodentia; Octodontidae. The transcript has a single exon. The record is from RefSeq and is a predicted model, not a curated record.